ACUUCUUUUUGUCACAGAUCACAAAUCCUCUUUGAUCUGUGCCUUUGGUUUCGGAAAUGUCACUUUCUUUGACAGAUUGAUUCGCAUAACGAAAAUGUGUGUUUUUUGGUGAACAAAAACAGUAAGGUAAUUUUUAAGCUCGACAUCGGAAAGUUUAUCCGAUUUGAGACGUUUUAGUGCAUUUAUACCUCAUCAGUUCCUCUCGGACAUAAACUUGUUCUUGACAGAUUGGUUCACGAAACGAAAAUAUGUGUUUUGUGGCCAACGAAAGCAGCAAAGUGAUUUUUAAGCUUGAAAUCCUAAAAUUUAACUGAUUUGGACCGUUUAAGUCUAAGUGCAUUUACUUACGUCUCGUCACUUCCUUUUGUCACAGAUCACAAAUCCUCUGUGAUUUGUGCCUUUCGUUUCGGAAAUGUCACUUUCUUUGACAGAUUGAUUCGCAAAACGAAAAUGUGUGUUUUUUGGUGAACAAAAACAGUAAGAUUGGUUCCCAAAACGAAAAUUUGUGUUUCCUGGCCAACUYUAAGAGCAAAGUAAUUUUUAAGCUCGAAAUCGUAAAAUUUWGCCGUAGAUCGUAGAUUUGAGACGUUUGAAUUUAGGUCCGACUACUGUAGAACAAWUUUGGGUAUUCCUCAAAUUCGAACAGAAUAUUCCAUGGGAUCUUAAUAAAAACCACAACAAUGCUUUUGAAA
Molecule: long non-coding RNA, 692 nt
Organism: Dendroctonus ponderosae (mountain pine beetle)
Lineage: Eukaryota; Metazoa; Arthropoda; Insecta; Coleoptera; Curculionidae
Exons: 2
Source: RefSeq, a predicted model, not a curated record